Molecule: ribosomal RNA, 253 nt
Filed under: uncultured bacterium
Lineage: Bacteria
Description: partial 16S ribosomal RNA
Rfam family: Bacterial small subunit ribosomal RNA
Source: RNAcentral
UACGUAGGGUCCGAGCGUUGUCCGGAAUUAUUGGGCGUAAAGAGCUCGUAGGCGGUUUGUCGCGUCUGCUGUGAAAUCCCGAGGCUCAACCUCGGGCCUGCAGUGGGUACGGGCAGACUGGAGUCCGGAAGAGGAGAAUGGAAUUCCUGGUGUAGCGGUGAAAUGCGCAGAUAUCAGGAAGAACACCCGUGGCGAAGGCGGUUCUCUGGGACGGUACUGACGCUGAGACGCGAAAGCGUGGGGAGCGAACAGG